This is a non-coding RNA of Melanotaenia boesemani (Boeseman's rainbowfish), 740 nucleotides long. NCBI's taxonomy places the organism in Eukaryota, Metazoa, Chordata, Actinopteri, Atheriniformes, Melanotaeniidae. The record is from the annotation of a RefSeq genome assembly.
AUGCCCAGUAUACCAGAUGAUCUGAGUCCUGCAGUGUUGAACUCACAGGACUAUAAACCUUCUCAGUUCUCUGGAGGAUCAGCUGAUGAUGCAAAGCCUCCUCUCUAUGGAAAUGAUUUCUCUGCUCUCAACACAAUGAAGACCAUGACUUUUGGUGGAGGAACCAAACUCAUCGUUCACUCUGGCCCCAUGGUCAGGCCCUCAGUCUCUCUGCUUCCCCCCUCCUCUGAGCAGAUCUCUGAGGGGUCGGCCACGCUGGCCUGCCUGCUGACCGGCUACUCUCCUCAGGGAGCCGUGGUGAGCUGGGAGGUGGACGGUACAGAGGUGACAGAGGGGGUCCUGACCAGCUCAGAGGAGGAGAAGAGUGGACGUUACAGCAGCAGCAGCAUCCUGAGCCUGAGCCAGAAGAGCUGGAUGAAAGGAGAGCUGUUCUCCUGUCAGGUCCUCCAUCAUGACCACAGACAGACCCAGUCCCUCCACAGGAGCCAGUGUGUGGACUAGAGGAGCUGACCGAAGCCCAGGACAGCAGCUGUGUGUGGGGGAGCAGGUGGAACACACCUGCUGCUCUGAUCAAUAUGAGUUUUAAUGUUUGGAGAAGAAACUAAAGCUUUGUGUGACACAGAACAAACUGCUGUAAAGUGGUGAUAACAACAACUUACAGAGUAAAAUGUGCAUCUCAGCAGCUGGAUGUGAGUGUGUAUGUUGUCGGUCAUUGUUUGCUAAUAAAGCUUGUUCUGAAU